Mercenaria mercenaria is the source of this 1093-nucleotide long non-coding RNA. RefSeq lists it as uncharacterized. The transcript is spliced from 4 exons. Lineage: Eukaryota; Metazoa; Mollusca; Bivalvia; Venerida; Veneridae. The record is from RefSeq and is a predicted model, not a curated record.
UGUUAAAAAACGUGCUGCAUUGAAUCAAUAGACCGUGCGUUCUCAAAUUUAAUGAAAAUGUCUUAUUUCAUAUAGGAAUUAUUUAAAACAAUCACUCAUUUGUUGUAGAAUGUACUCAGUAAUUCGGUUUGUUUUCAGACACGGCAUCAGUAAACAACAUAUUGAUCGGUGUUGCUGUGAGUGGAUGGUUGUUGUUUUUGGUAGUACUUACAAUCUUAUCAGUCACAAUAAUAAGACGAAAAUAUCAGAAUUGCAAAGGUAUUAAAAACAAGGAUACGGUGAAUCAGGAACAGCAACCGCCAAUUCGUGACCAGCACGAAUAUAUGACUUUACAACACGAGCAAGGGAAUGCAGAUGAUGUGACAAACUAUGAAAUGUUGAAGCAGGACAAAGAGAGAACUAUAAAUCAGAGCAACUAUGAGAACUUUGAAAACACUGGACUUUGAAAGAUUUUCGUGUAUAUAUGAAGAGGAAGAAACCUAGUUAUAUGUUGCAUCAAUUUAAUAUCAUAUGUUGUUAUAUUUAUAAACUUAUAAUGAUGUUAGUAUAUUAAAUGCCUAUUCUGUCAUAAUUAUAAAAGGCCAGCCGAUUUCACUUAUAAAGCAAUUCUACAACAAUGUAAUUGUUACUAGCCAGUUAUUUUAUAUUUACAGAAAAGAAGAGUGCGAUUUUGUGCAUGUUUUAGUUUUAAAUAUCUUCCUUUUGAAUGAUAAUACGACGGCAUUGCAUACUUCUAGAAAAUGUCGAGAGUCUCUGAAUUGUGUGUGAUUUGCUCUAAAAUAUUUUUAGAAAGCAAUGUAGUAUAAGAUGGACAAUGAAACGUGAAGCCAUAAUUAUUCCCAUUUUCAUUUUGUACAUAUGUGUUUUUACGGACAAUAGCAGUGUAUUAUUUACUCGGAGACAUAUAAAUUGAAUCAGCAAUCAAAGAACUUAUGAUGUUUUUAAUAUGCUUCUGUAAAUAAUAAUAAAAUGAUUGUGAGCCAAGUCAUAAAAUAUAGAUCUGAAAUGAAUGUGUACUUUUAUGUUAAAUUUGUUAAUCUCCUUGCGUAAUAUAUACAUACUCAAUAAAGUUGAUACUCUACAGAGAGGUUUA